This 450-nucleotide ribosomal RNA is filed under the name uncultured bacterium. RNAcentral describes it as "bacterial SSU rRNA". It matches the Rfam family "Bacterial small subunit ribosomal RNA", at positions 28 to 524 of the family's 1533-position model. The record is from RNAcentral.
GACGAACGCUGGCGGCAUGCCUAACACAUGCAAGUCGAACGAGACCUUCGGGUCUAGUGGCGCACGGGUGCGUAACGCGUGGGAACCUGCCUUUAGGUUCGGAAUAACUCAGAGAAAUUUGAGCUAAUACCGGAUAAUGUCUUCGGACCAAAGAUUUAUCGCCUUUAGAUGGGCCCGCGUAAGAUUAGCUAGUUGGUGGGGUAAAGGCCUACCAAGGCGACGAUCUUUAGCUGGUCUGAGAGGAUGAUCAGCCACACUGGGACUGAGGCACGGCCCAGACUCCUACGGGAGGCAGCAGUGGGGAAUAUUGGACAAUGGGCGAAAGCCUGAUCCAGCAAUGCCGCGUGAGUGAUGAAGGCCUUAGGGUUGUAAAACUCUUUCGCCGGAGAAGAUAAUGACGGUAUCCGGAGAAGAAGCCCCGGCUAACUUCGUGCCAGCAGCCGCGGUAAU